RNAcentral lists this ribosomal RNA (200 nucleotides) under uncultured bacterium. RNAcentral describes it as "partial 16S ribosomal RNA". It matches the Rfam family "Bacterial small subunit ribosomal RNA", at positions 1304 to 1500 of the family's 1533-position model. The record is from RNAcentral.
GCUGAAACUACGCCUACAUGAAGCUGGAGUUGCUAGUAAUCGCGAAUCAGCAUGUCGCGGUGAAUACGUUCCCGGGCCUUGUACACACCGCCCGUCACACCAUGAGAGUUGGCAAUACCCAACGUACGUGAUCUAACCCGCAAGGGAGGAAGCGUCCUAAGGUAGGGUCAGCGAUUGGGGUGAAGUCGUAACAAGGUACC